This 115-nucleotide non-coding RNA is filed under the name Virgibacillus sp. RNAcentral's name for it is "TPP sequence". It matches the Rfam family "TPP riboswitch aptamer (THI element)". From Rfam's summary of the family: Vitamin B(1) in its active form thiamin pyrophosphate (TPP) is an essential coenzyme that is synthesised by coupling of pyrimidine and thiazole moieties in bacteria. The previously detected thiamin-regulatory element, thi box was extended, resulting in a new, highly conserved RNA secondary structure, the THI element, which is widely distributed in eubacteria and also occurs in some archaea. Analysis of operon structures identified a large number of new candidate thiamin-regulated genes, mostly transporters, in various prokaryotic organisms. The record is from RNAcentral. RNAcentral also lists the same sequence under 1 other name. Lineage: Bacteria; Bacillati; Bacillota; Bacilli; Caryophanales; Bacillaceae.
UAAAAAAGCUAGGGGUGCCCAAUAAGCAGGGCUGAGAAGGGAACGCGAUAAAGUUUCCUGACUCUUCGGACCUGAUCUGGAUCAUACCAGCGUGGGGAAGUUAGAUGAAUCAUCA